AUUGAACGCUGGCGGCAGGCCUAACACAUGCAAGUCGAGCGGAGCGGCGGACGGGUGAGUAAUGCCUAGGAAUCUGCCUGGUAGUGGGGGAUAACGUCCGGAAACGGGCGCUAAUACCGCAUACUAUCAGAUGAGCCUAGGUCGGAUUAGCUAGUUGGGGGGGUAAAUGCCUACCAAGGCGACGAUCCGUAACUGGUCUGCGAGGAUGAUCAGUCACACUGGAACUGAGCACCGGGCCAGACUCCUACGGUAGGAAGCAGUGGGGAAGCUUGGACAAUGGGCGAAAGCCUGAUCCAGCCAGGACGCGUGUGUGAAGAAGGUCUUCGGAGUGUAAAGCACUUAAAGUUGGGAGGCGUUACCAACAGAAUAAGCACCGGCUAACUUCGAGCCAGCAGCCGCGGUAAUAC
Molecule: ribosomal RNA, 407 nt
Filed under: uncultured bacterium
Lineage: Bacteria
Description: partial 16S ribosomal RNA
Rfam family: Bacterial small subunit ribosomal RNA
Source: RNAcentral